Molecule: ribosomal RNA, 490 nt
Filed under: uncultured bacterium
Lineage: Bacteria
Description: partial 16S ribosomal RNA
Rfam family: Bacterial small subunit ribosomal RNA
Source: RNAcentral
AUUGAACGCUGGCGGCAUGCCUUACACAUGCAAGUCGAACGGCAGCAUGAUCUAGCUUGCUAGAUUGAUGGCGAGUGGCGAACGGGUGAGUAAUACAUCGGAACGUGCCCUGUUGUGGGGGAUAACUAGUCGAAAGAUUAGCUAAUACCGCAUACGACCUGAGGGUGAAAGGGGGGGAGCGCAAUGCCUCAUGCUAUAGGAGCGGCCGAUGUCUGAUUAGCUAGUUGGUGAGGUAAAGGCUCACCAAGGCGACGAUCAGUAGCUGGUCUGAGAGGACGAUCAGCCACACUGGGACUGAGACACGGCCCAGACUCCUACGGGAGGCAGCAGUGGGGAAUUUUGGACAAUGGGCGAAAGCCUGAUCCAGCAAUGCCGCGUGUGUGAAGAAGGCCUUCGGGUUGUAAAGCACUUUUGUCCGGAAAGAAAUGGCUCUGGUUAAUACCUGGGGUCGAUGACGGUACCGGAAGAAUAAGAACCGGCUAACUACGUG